Molecule: ribosomal RNA, 699 nt
Filed under: uncultured bacterium
Lineage: Bacteria
Description: bacterial SSU rRNA
Rfam family: Bacterial small subunit ribosomal RNA
Source: RNAcentral
GCAGUCGAGCGGUAGCACAGAGAGCUUGCUCUCGGGUGACGAGCGGCGGACGGGUGAGUAAUGUCUGGGAAACUGCCUGAUGGAGGGGGAUAACUACUGGAAACGGUAGCUAAUACCGCAUAAUGUCGCAAGACCAAAGUGGGGGACCUUCGGGCCUCAUGCCAUCAGAUGUGCCCAGAUGGGAUUAGCUAGUAGGUGGGGUAACGGCUCACCUAGGCGACGAUCCCUAGCUGGUCUGAGAGGAUGACCAGCCACACUGGAACUGAGACACGGUCCAGACUCCUACGGGAGGCAGCAGUGGGGAAUAUUGCACAAUGGGCGCAAGCCUGAUGCAGCCAUGCCGCGUGUGUGAAGAAGGCCUUCGGGUUGUAAAGCACUUUCAGCGGGGAGGAAGGCGUUAAGGUUAAUAACCUUGGCGAUUGACGUUACCCGCAGAAGAAGCACCGGCUAACUCCGUGCCAGCAGCCGCGGUAACACGGAGGGUGCAAGCGUUAAUCGGAAUUACUGGGCGUAAAGCGCACGCAGGCGGUUUGUUAAGUCAGAUGUGAAAUCCCCGGGCUCAACCUGGGAACUGCAUCUGAUACUGGCAAGCUUGAGUCUCGUAGAGGGGGGUAGAAUUCCAGGUGUAGCGGUGAAAUGCGUAGAGAUCUGGAGGAAUACCGGUGGCGAAGGCGGCCCCCUGGACGAAGACUGACGCUC